RNAcentral lists this ribosomal RNA (254 nucleotides) under uncultured bacterium. RNAcentral describes it as "partial 16S ribosomal RNA". It matches the Rfam family "Bacterial small subunit ribosomal RNA", at positions 524 to 776 of the family's 1533-position model. The record is from RNAcentral.
UACGUAGGUGGCAAGCGUUGUCCGGAAUUAUUGGGCGUAAAGCGCGCGCAGGCGGCCUCUUAAGUCUGAUGUGAAAGCCCCCCGGCUCAACCGGGGAGGGCCAUUGGAAACUGGGAGGCUUGAGUAUAGGAGAGAAGAGUGGAAUUCCACGUGUAGCGGUGAAAUGCGUAGAGAUGUGGAGGAACACCAGUGGCGAAGGCGACUCUCUGGUCUGUAACUGACGCUGAGGCGCGAAAGCGUGGGGAGCAAACAGG